CCCAUUGAGGGGCCUUAUUUUAUUCCCAAAAUUUGGACGAUGAAUUUAUCUAUAGCAUUCCAUUCAUGUUCUGUGCAAAGCUUCCGCCGCCGUCAAUCCAUUACACUGUCGUCGACUUUUCUCCAUCACAGAAAUAAAGUUCCCAGCUCACAAAAGCAUAUCAAACUAAUGCAACAAUAUUGCAGUUUUAUUUGAGGUUUUGAAAGCAGUUAAUUGAACAGAGACGAUAUAUGAUGAGUAUGGAGUCAAUGGAUACGAGUGAGUAUGCACAUGGUCAAGAUGAAAUUCGUAAGGAAAUAUUGUCAAUACUUUGGAAUUUCUAGUGAAUCCCUCCAUAAAAUUAGAGAGAGUGUCAAACAUAUUAAAAGAUCUGAUGGAAGGAUGCUUAAGUUCAAAGAUUGUGUCGAGGAUGCAGGGAUAAAUGUUAGCGGUGGUUUAAGAUUUGAUGUAUCUACUAGAUGAAAUAACACUUAUUUGAUGCUUGAAAGUGACUUGCAAUAUAGGAAAGCUUUUGAGUUUUAUAAGGUGGCGGAUAGAAGCUAUAAAUAUUGUCCACUGAUGAGGAAUGGGAAAGGGGGGAAAAGAUUUGUGAGUUUUUAGAACCUUUUUAUGAAAUUACCAAUUUGAUUUCUGGUUCAUCUUAUCCAACUGCAAAUAUGUAUUUCAUGCAAGUGUGAAAAAUCCAGUGCAUUUUAGAAAAACAUCAAAAAAGUAUUGAUAAGGUGAUAAAAGAUAUGUCUGAUAAUAUGAAAGUGAAAUUUGACAAAUACUAGAAAAACUAUAGUGUUGUGCUAGCAUUUGGAGCUAUUCUUGAUCCACGCUUGAAGGAUAAUUUUUUGAGGUUUUGCUAUACUACACUUGAUGCCUCAACCUCUGAAGGGAAACUUAAGAAUGCAAUGGAUAAAUUCAAAGGACUUUAUGAAGAAUAUAUGAGUUAUUCUACCAAUCAAAGUGUUUCUCUUUCUCAACCAUCUAAUGAGUUCAACUCAUUGGCUAAGCUAUCUAGAGAGGGGAAUAAAGCUAAAAAAAUCAAAAAUUAUAACGGUAAGUUUUUAUAUUAACAUAUU
This is a long non-coding RNA of Lathyrus oleraceus (garden pea), 1067 nucleotides long. RefSeq lists it as uncharacterized. NCBI's taxonomy places the organism in Eukaryota, Viridiplantae, Streptophyta, Magnoliopsida, Fabales, Fabaceae. The transcript has 3 exons. The record is from RefSeq and is a predicted model, not a curated record.